This is a long non-coding RNA of Oncorhynchus tshawytscha (Chinook salmon), 788 nucleotides long. NCBI's taxonomy places the organism in Eukaryota, Metazoa, Chordata, Actinopteri, Salmoniformes, Salmonidae. The record is from Ensembl.
UGUUGACAUGUUCGUUCCGGCAUUGUAGUUUUGUCUAUACAGUCCUGUUUACUAUGUGCUGUGGUCCGUUAUCAAAUGCACCAAUGCGUUUAUAGAAAAUCAAAACAACUACAAGGCACCGAGAAAAUAUAAUUCACAAGUUUGAACAAACAAAGAAAGAUCCGCUCGAGUUUGAUGGAGUCGGUAACAUGGAGCAAUAUUAGGCUGACAAGGAUAAAUCUUGCAGCCUGGCGAAUAUGCAGUCUGCGUCUCAAUACACAUCCCAAUCAACAUUUGGGCACAGAGGGCCUGAAGAGACAAGUCUUCAGGGAGACAUCUCACUCGCCCAGAAACAGCCCAAGACUCCAGACCUCUCCUUCUGUUAAGCAUGGACUACCCGGAUGUCCACUUCCACUGGGGGCUGCAGUGAGACAAAGCUACUGGGAUCUCCUAUAGGACCUACGGUCUUCUGACAGACACCUGCUACAGUACCAGGGAGAACCAUGGCACCACGGUCCUCUACCUCUAUUCAUCUAGAUUCUACACUACAGUGUGGUUCAUGCUCAUACUGCAGUGGAACAUGAUGCCCAGUAAUACUGAAUGACUAAUCUAAUCAUAUUGAAAAUAGUUUGUUUCAGUUCAAGUUUCAUUCUACUGUACCAGUGUUCAUUAUAUGCAGUUGCUAAAAUGUAUAUGGUUUGUCUUGACAAGAUGCAAGCAUUGAUUAUUACAUUGUUAUUCACAAAGAUGAUUCUUGUCUCAAUAAAUAAAAUGUCCAUAAAACAUGUUGGGAUUAAAAAGGUUUAAAC